AGGACAAUAUCAACAUCCAUCCCAUCAUGGCUGAUGUUUUGGACAAAACGCAUAACUGGGCCACAGAACACACCCAGGUCCUCAUAAACUGGCAUAUUGCCAAUGAGGGCUUAUUUACCGGCAAGAGGAACUCUUUUAAAACUGGAUGGGAUGAUUUUGUGAGAGCCCCUGGCCUGGAGGUCACAGCAAAGCAGGCUAAGAAGUGGCACAAUUUAGUGCAUAAAUAUAAGUGAGUUUCUUCAGAGUGAGGACACAAAGAAUUGAGAGGAGAAAGAGAGAAAUAAAACAAGAAGGUAAAGGGACACUCCCGCACUCUGGGACCAGACAAAGACGGAAACAACGAAGCUGACCGUCUGGCCAGAUUGGGAGCCGAAAGCGUAACCCCAUGGGAAUUCCGAGAACAUGUAAGCUUUCCUCCAGAUCCCCAGACCGUCUGUGCCAUCACCAGGCGACAGACCAGGGAAAGGCAGGAGAACCCCCAAAACUCAGGGG
This is a long non-coding RNA of Fundulus heteroclitus (mummichog), 492 nucleotides long. RefSeq lists it as uncharacterized. The transcript is spliced from 4 exons. NCBI's taxonomy places the organism in Eukaryota, Metazoa, Chordata, Actinopteri, Cyprinodontiformes, Fundulidae. The record is from RefSeq and is a predicted model, not a curated record.